Molecule: long non-coding RNA, 1421 nt
Filed under: Rhinopithecus bieti (black snub-nosed monkey)
Lineage: Eukaryota; Metazoa; Chordata; Mammalia; Primates; Cercopithecidae
Description: lncRNA (ENSRBIG00000045385.1)
Source: RNAcentral
AUGAUGCAUCCAUCUGGAAGACUCUUCAAAAGAGCUGCGUAUCUCAUGAGUUACAGGACAGACACAGCAGAUAGGAAGUCAGCGCUUUCUAAAUCAAUCCUGCUCUUGGAGAAGGUUAUGCAUGUAAACCCACCUGGACCUCCUCCUCACACUCUAACUCCCUGUUAUAAAGCCAACUCCUGCUUUACAACAAAUACUCAUAUCUAUUUGCACUUCCUGAAUGACAUAGUGAAACUGAGCAUCUUUGUCUUAUUCCUGCGAGGCCUGGACCUGCUGCCCUGGAUGAAGCCCAGCCUCAGGGGUGAGGCUGCCCGACAGGCUCCCGACUCAGAGGGACCCACAGCUUUAGUUGUCAUUGAUGUCACUGUUGGCCCAGGAGUGAGCUGGUACCACCUAAUACCCCUCGAGAGGAGACCCAGCCUCCUGCAUGAGAAUGGAGUAUUCCUGGGAGGUAGCGUCUCCCUGAACACAGACGGGACCUGGCAGCGAGGACCACAGGGCCUGACCCCUGCGAGCCAAUGUCUCCAGAACCUGAGACUUCGAGUCAUUGCCCAUUGAGGGAUGGACUGAAUCACAUCUCAAAAUUCAACCAGAUUUCCAGUUGGAGGCCAGGGGAAUCUGGAAACAUUAAUUGCCUCCUCCAUUAAACAGAUGCAUUUACUUUUGUGUUUAUUGAAUUAAUUUACAAAAUGCUGCUGUCUUGAGGGAAGCAUUCCCUGGAGCUUGCAAAUACCAGCUAAUACCACGUAGUUAAUAUGCAUUCAACAGAAGCAGUAAUGUCAGGAUUAUAUUAGCACCAACCAAAGAAUACAAACAUCCAGACUUUUGAAUUCUCCAACCUCCAAGACCUCCGUGAUUUACUGCCUUUUAGGGUUCAAUCUAGAUAGGGAAAUUGGAUUUCCUGUCAGAAGUUUCUGUGCAGCACAUUCCUGAACUUCCUUGAAUGGUUUGACGUCUUUCUGAGGUUUCUGGCGUCAGUCUCUACGGCCGACUGCUACCACCUUGAAUCCAAGGGGACUGUUUUGGAGGAGAGGAAGGGGAACCUAGUUGCAUCUUCCUGGUAGUGGGACAAGUUAGUCUAAUGUGUUUUUCACAGUCUUCUAGGUGGGAGAAACGCCUGUAGAGCCCAGCAUCCAGGUGUUUCUGAAAUUGCUUCCAGUGAAUGAAGGCAUUUGCCUGCCUCCACCGUCCCAAUCAUGCCUACCCACUCUUUCCUCUUCUGAUGAGAUCUUUCAGCAAAUCAAGGCUGGGGCUUGGCGACUAACUUCCCAAGCAUCAACAGCUCUCUGUAUUUUAAGGUCCACACUGCCUGCCCUGAGAGGAAGAGAAGCUGGACAGUACCCAAGUACCCAAGGAAUCUAGAAACAACCUUUUCCUCUGCUCCUGUGCUAUCUGUGCUAACUGAUCAAACAGCACAUUUU